This 26-nucleotide non-coding RNA is filed under the name Homo sapiens (human). The record is from RNAcentral. Lineage: Eukaryota; Metazoa; Chordata; Mammalia; Primates; Hominidae.
UUCCAUGGUGCUAAUUGGGGAUGAGC